AUACGUAGGUGGCAAGCGUUAUCCGGAAUUAUUGGGCGUAAAGAGGGAGCAGGCGGCAGCAAGGGUCUGUGGUGAAAGCCUGAAGCUUAACUUCAGUAAGCCAUAGAAACCAGGCAGCUAGAGGGCAGGAGAGGAUCGUGGAAUUCCAUGUGUAGCGGUGAAAUGCGUAGAUAUAUGGAGGAACACCAGUGGAGAAGGCGACGAUCUGGCCUGCAACUGACGCUCAGUCCCGAAAGCGUGGGGAGCAAAUAGGAUUAGAUACCCUAGUAGUCCACGCCGUAAACGAUGAGUACUAAGUGUUGGAUGUCAAAGUUCAGUGCUGCAGUUAACGCAAUAAGUACUCCGCCUGAGUAGUACGUUCGCAAGAAUGAAACUCAAAGGAAUUGACGGGG
Molecule: ribosomal RNA, 392 nt
Filed under: uncultured bacterium
Lineage: Bacteria
Description: partial 16S ribosomal RNA
Rfam family: Bacterial small subunit ribosomal RNA
Source: RNAcentral